UCUUUUUUGGAGCUUAAGUGGGUUGGUGGGGAGUGACAUGUGCCAGGAGCCUGGGCCAGUGUCCUUUGUAGUCAACUCUCUAUGCUUUAUAGCUGACCUGCAGGAUAAGUUAUAGAGGAUGUCUAAUACAGUUCUGCCCCAGCUCUUCCAGUGUCUUGGUUUGCGGCUUGACAGGAAGUGUAAGGAAUUAAUAUCCAUCUUCUCUUUAACAGCCUCUCACUGCAGGAAAUGCCUUGUGGGAAGAGAAGGGACAGCAUUGAGAUAUAAACUCUACUAUCAGAUAUAGGAGAAUGUGUG
This is a non-coding RNA of Pelobates cultripes (western spadefoot toad), 297 nucleotides long. The record is from the annotation of a GenBank genome assembly. NCBI's taxonomy places the organism in Eukaryota, Metazoa, Chordata, Amphibia, Anura, Pelobatidae.